AUCAUUGACACACAUCCUAACCGAUGCUUGUGCCAACAAGCAGACCCAGCGAACUAUUCUCCUACCACUUGAGGGGCUGCAUCGCGAGGUGCAGCUGUCGGCGGCCGGGCCCUUGCUCUAGGGGUCGGAGUCCUUGCUGGGCUCACCGUUGCGGGUGAGCACCGGUUGUCCGACGGGGGCCGCUCUUGGGCCUCGCACAAGGGAGAGUGCGAGGGCGGCGUUUCCCACUCCAGCUGUCCUUCGGGCCAGCUGCGCAACCAACCACCAAACACUAUGCAAAAACCGACUGAAGACCGAUCCUUUGCGGGUUCCUUCGGGAGCCCCGCCUCGGAUCAAAACCAAACUAAAGACAACUCUCAACAACGGAUAUCUUGGCUCUCGCAACGAUGAAGAACGCAGCGAAAUGCGAUACGUAGUGUGAAUUGCAGAAUUCCGUGAAUCAUCGAAUCUUUGAACGCAUAUUGCGCCCGCGGCCUCGGCCAAGGGCAUGUCUGCCUGAGCGUCAUUAUAACACCUCACACCCCUUUUGGGGGUGGAUCUGGCCGUCCGGACCCCUUGGGGCCUGGUCGGCUGAAAGGCAGAUGCAAAGCCAGCAGCCCAUUCAACGGCAAGGCGUGGUAGACCGCAUCGCGGGCGAUCGUCGUGCCGGGGCUGAUUGCGGCUUUCGCAUUAGCAGGAACCGUCGCUUCCGACAGACUUCAAGGAGGGCCUUGACCCAUUGACCUCAGAUCAGGCAAGAUUACCCGCCGAAUUUAAGCAUAUCAAUAAGCGGAGGA
RNAcentral lists this ribosomal RNA (776 nucleotides) under Klebsormidium crenulatum. RNAcentral describes it as "eukaryotic LSU rRNA". The stretch from base 352 to 505 matches the Rfam family "5.8S ribosomal RNA". Lineage: Eukaryota; Viridiplantae; Streptophyta; Klebsormidiophyceae; Klebsormidiales; Klebsormidiaceae. The record is from RNAcentral.